GGGGUUGUGGCUCAGUGGUAGAGCACUUGCCUAGUAUGCAAUGAGGUACUGGGCUCAAUCCCCAGCACCA
Non-coding RNA from Ictidomys tridecemlineatus (thirteen-lined ground squirrel), 70 nucleotides. The record is from Rfam. NCBI's taxonomy places the organism in Eukaryota, Metazoa, Chordata, Mammalia, Rodentia, Sciuridae.